GACAGAGGCCUCAAGCGUUAGGCGGAAUCACUGGGCUUAAAGCGUGUGUAGGCGGAUCGUUAAGUGUCUUGUGAAAUCCCACGGCUCACCCGUGGAACGGCUGGGCAUACUGGCGAUCUUGGGCCAACUAGGGGCAACUGGAACAAGCGGUGGAGCGGUGAAAUGCGUAGAUAUCGCUUGGAACGCCGAAGGUGAAAACAGGUUGCUGGGGUUGUGCCGACGCUGGAGACACGAAAGCCAGGGGAGCGAACGGG
Molecule: ribosomal RNA, 254 nt
Filed under: uncultured bacterium
Lineage: Bacteria
Description: partial 16S ribosomal RNA
Rfam family: Bacterial small subunit ribosomal RNA
Source: RNAcentral